AUUGAACGCUGGCGGCAGGCCUAACACAUGCAAGUCGAACGAGUGGCGGACGGGUGAGUAAUGUCUGGGAAACUGCCUGAUGGAGGGGGAUAACUACUGGAAACGGUAGAUAAUACCGCAUACCAUCAGAUCUGCCCAGGUGGGAUUAGCUAGUUGGUGGGGUAACGGCUCACCAAGGCGACGAUCCCUAGCUGGUCUAAGAGGCUGACCAGCCACACUGGAACUGAGACACGGUCCAGACUCCUACGGGAGGCGGCAGUGGGGAAUCUGACACAAUGGGCGCAAGCCUGAUGCAGCCAUGCCGCGUGUAGGAAGAAGGCCUGCGGGUUGUAAAGUACUGUCAGCGGGGAGGCGUUACCCGCAGAAGAAGCACCGGCUAACUCCGUGCCAGCAGCCGCGGGAAUAC
RNAcentral lists this ribosomal RNA (406 nucleotides) under uncultured bacterium. RNAcentral's name for it is "partial 16S ribosomal RNA". It matches the Rfam family "Bacterial small subunit ribosomal RNA", at positions 29 to 526 of the family's 1533-position model. The record is from RNAcentral.